Molecule: long non-coding RNA, 1432 nt
Organism: Ceratitis capitata (Mediterranean fruit fly)
Lineage: Eukaryota; Metazoa; Arthropoda; Insecta; Diptera; Tephritidae
Exons: 2
Source: RefSeq, a predicted model, not a curated record
AAACACCAUUUUGCCGUCAGCAAAACAUUGUUGCCAUUUAGCGCAAUAAAUAAAUUAAAUAUCAAAUUUCAUAUAUUUAGCUGAAUUGAUAACAAAAAUGGUUUUCCAACGUGUAGUCUUUCCAGCAUUGUCCCAUUAUGCUACUGUUGCGCAUUCUUUUAUCAGUGCGAGAAUAAGUAUGAGCUCUUUUUAUACUAUACUCAUUAGCAUGGCAAAGAACAAAAAAAAAACAAUUUUUCGGCCCCUCUCACUAAUUGGUGAUUUGUGCAAAAAUUAAUUUUUCAUCAUUUUUAAUAAAAAAAAAAUUAUGGGGAUUUUACUGCAGACAGUCAGCUGUCUAUUUUAAAUCGAAUGGCUGACUUGAUUAAAAAAAAAUUAUAAAGAAAAAGUUGAAAAAGAAAUCAUAAAUGGAGCUUAAAAAAUUUCGACAAUUUAAACGCUGUCGAAGAUCUCACUAUCGAUAGUGGCAUACCGUUUAAAUAAACAUACAUACAAACAUAUGUCAAGGUGAAACUGAUAAAGUUAAAGAGGGUUUAUAUAUUUUUAUUUUAUUUUGUGUACUUAUUUAUACAUAUAUUCAUGCUGAUAUAAAUUACACAUACAUAAAUUACAUACAUAUUAUACAUGUACAUCUCCACUAACUGUAUGUAUGAAUGCUUUUUUUCUUUUGCUUGUGCCAAGAAAAGCUUAAGCAGCAUUACAUGUAAAUAUCUUCUAUGCUAUUAUUUGCUCUGAACGUGCUCUCAGCAUACAACUAAGCUCACUCAGUUCCCUUCCACGUUGAAAAAGAGUAAUGCAAGUUAGUAAAUGCCUUAUGUUGUGCCAAAGCACUGCAACGGCAACGAAGCAGCUAACGUGUUCACAUCAUAACUGCAGCACGCAGCAAGUGCGCUAACACCUCCGGGCUUGCUGUGCGCCACCGACUACUCGGCGCUGACACUGUGGCGCUCUGCGCUUGUUGUCUAUUCAUCAAACGGCGAUAUUGCAUUUAAACGGCUGUCGAUCGCGCGCUCUUCCCAAUGUACUGGGACGUAUGAGUUUUUGUUUUUAUAUUUUGUUUGUGGCGGCAGCAAUGACGUCGCUGGCCACUAGUCAAACGCCACUGACAGCACCAUCGUUUCAGUGGCUGAACGUUGACGACGACGUCGUAGCAUUGUGAAGUUUUCGAAAAUAUUUCAUUCAGUCACAAAUUAUGCUUCUUAUUAUAAACACGUUCAAUUUACGAUCAGCGCUUAAUGUACCUAUCGGCAGCAACGCGUUCAGCGUAGUAGCAGAGAAAAGAAAGUAAAGCUUAGAAAUUUCAACAACAUUUCUCUUCGAUUUCAAAACAAGUUUUUUUUGCAAGGCACUUACACCGUUUGCAUUCAAAUUACUUGCAACUAAAAAGAAGUUAAAAGAUAGAAAAAAAUCUUGUGAAAAUGUGACUGGUUGC